This 359-nucleotide ribosomal RNA is filed under the name uncultured Racocetra. RNAcentral describes it as "SSU rRNA". It matches the Rfam family "Eukaryotic small subunit ribosomal RNA", at positions 731 to 1091 of the family's 1831-position model. Lineage: Eukaryota; Fungi; Glomeromycota; Glomeromycetes; Diversisporales; Gigasporaceae. The record is from RNAcentral.
UGUAGUGGAAAACCAGGACCUUUAUCUUGAAAAAAUUAGAGUGUUCAAAGCAGGCUUAUGUUUGAAUACAUUAGAAUGGAAUAAUAAAAUAGGACAGUGGUCCUGUUUUGUUGAUUUCUGAAUCACCAUAAUGGUUAAUAGGGAUAGUUAGGGGCAUUAGUAUUCAAUUGUCAGAGGUGAAAUUCUUGGAUUUAUUGAAGACUAACUUCUGCGAAAGCAUUUGCUAAGGAUGUUUUCAUUAAUCAAGGACGAAAGUUAGGGGAUCGAAGAUAAUCAGAUACCAUCGUAGUCUUAACCAUAAACUAUGCCGACUAGGGACCGGACGAUGUUAAUUUUUCUUGACUCGUUUAGCGCCUUAC